Pseudophryne corroboree (corroboree frog) is the source of this 745-nucleotide long non-coding RNA. RefSeq lists it as uncharacterized. The transcript is spliced from 4 exons. The record is from RefSeq and is a predicted model, not a curated record. NCBI's taxonomy places the organism in Eukaryota, Metazoa, Chordata, Amphibia, Anura, Myobatrachidae.
ACACAUAGCGGCUGCCAAGUGCGGCCGCGAUUCCCUCUCCUCUCACAUGCAACUGCUAUACCUGGGUUGCAGUGAGUGACAGAAGAGGACCACACUGGGUGCCGGGAUGUCUGCGCUGUACUCCCCCAGUGACCCGGAGCAACGAAGCAGCAACAGCAGCAGCCUCUCAGCCUCUUUGGGGCAGAUGUUCCCCUGUCUCUGAGAUCCCAGCCCCCCGAGUCUGCAGCAGGUGGCUGGGGAUCAGAGACAGCGGGUAGGUGGGUGUCCGACACUUAGCACCAGACUCUGGCCUCAGCAGCAGUGCCGAAUCUAAAGCAGGUCGUGUAGGAAUUAAUGUGCUCGGUACUCUACUCGCAUGCCUGGGGGCUCUGCUCCAUACUCUCCUAGCUCAGCCCAGGCUGCUACAAGGUGAAUGGGCGCUGACUGCAGCACCAGCUGAAUGAAGAUGGUGGCUGAGGGCAUGAUCUUUCCCAUCACAAUCAAAUACCUGUUGGGGCACUGGCAGCAGACAGCAGCAGCACGUAGGAAGGAGCCCUGGAGGACUCACCGAGGAGGAGCGGAGACAUGCGCACCAGCUGAAGAGACGCGAGGGAGCGUCUCUAGGACGUAAAUUAAAUAAAAAUUUGGACAAAUUAAUUACAAGCCUUUGGAAGAUUUAUAUUAACCAUCAGAUGGUCGCAAAUAGGAAGAUUCAUUAAAUACUACAAAACCAUGGAAGUUAAUUAUACAUAAUAAUUCUUAGUAA